Molecule: ribosomal RNA, 507 nt
Filed under: uncultured bacterium
Lineage: Bacteria
Description: bacterial SSU rRNA
Rfam family: Bacterial small subunit ribosomal RNA
Source: RNAcentral
AACCUGGCGGCGUGCCUAUAAUACAAGUCGGGCGAACGGACGAGAAGCUUGCUUCUCUGAUGUUAGCGGCGGACGGGUGAGUAACACGUGGAUAACCUACCUAUAAGACUGGGAUAACUUCGGGAAACCGGAGCUAAUACCGGAUAAUAUUUUGAACCGCAUGGUUCAAAAGUGAAAGACGGUCUUGCUGUCACUUAUAGAUGGAUCCGCGCUGCAUUAGCUAGUUGGUAAGGUAACGGCUUACCAAGGCAACGAUGCAUAGCCGACCUGAGAGGGUGAUCGGCCACACUGGAACUGAGACACGGUCCAGACUCCUACGGGAGGCAGCAGUAGGGAAUCUUCCGCAAUGGGCGAAAGCCUGACGGAGCAACGCCGCGUGAGUGAUGAAGGUCUUCGGAUCGUAAAACUCUGUUAUUAGGGAAGAACAUAUGUGUAAGUAACUGUGCACAUCUUGACGGUACCUAAUCAGAAAGCCACGGCUAACUACGUGCCAGCAGCCGCGGUAAU